Non-coding RNA from Cinara cedri, 339 nucleotides. The record is from the annotation of a GenBank genome assembly. Lineage: Eukaryota; Metazoa; Arthropoda; Insecta; Hemiptera; Aphididae.
GAGACAAUAGACGUGAGUGAAGAGGCUAAACAUUUUUGGUAUUUCAGGGCGUGUUUUGGUCAUAGUUAGCCAAUAAGUCUCGACACUAUGUUCGCUUUAGACGCCUUCUAUGGUCCCCAAGGAUAGUGUAGGUUAAGAGUUCAGCUAUUAGUGAAUUUUUAUGAUCGUGGGUACUGUAAUGGAGACGUUUGUAGAAGGUUUUGGCUGUGUUUAUAACUGUUUGUAUGGAAAUGUCUUUAUGGAGAGUAUUGUUGAAGACAUAGUAUGGAUAAUGGAGCCUAUGUUAUUUGCUGGAGACAUUUGGUUUGGAAAAUUUGUAUUUUAUUGAUAUUAGAGUGC